GGCUCGGUAGCUCAGUUGGUAGAGCAACGGAUUGAAGCUCCGUGUGUCGGCGGUUCGAUUCCGUCCCGAGCCAC
Molecule: transfer RNA, 74 nt
Filed under: Halolactibacillus alkaliphilus
Lineage: Bacteria; Bacillati; Bacillota; Bacilli; Caryophanales; Bacillaceae
Description: tRNA-Phe
Rfam family: tRNA
About the family: Transfer RNA (tRNA) molecules are approximately 80 nucleotides in length.
Source: RNAcentral